UACGUAGGUGGCAAGCGUUGUCCGGAAUUACUGGGCGUAAAGGGCGUGUAGGCGGGGCGGCAAGUCAGAUGUGAAAUCCCAUGGCUUAACUGUGGAGCUGCAUCUGAAACUGUCGUUCUUGAGUGUCGGAGAGGAAAGUGGAAUUCCCAGUGUAGCGGUGAAAUGCGUAGAGAUUGGGAGGAACACCAGUGGCGAAGGCGGCUUUCUGGACGAUAACUGACGCUGAGGCGCGAAAGCCAGGGGAGCGAACGGG
This 253-nucleotide ribosomal RNA is filed under the name uncultured bacterium. RNAcentral's name for it is "partial 16S ribosomal RNA". It matches the Rfam family "Bacterial small subunit ribosomal RNA", at positions 524 to 776 of the family's 1533-position model. The record is from RNAcentral.